UGCAGAGGUCUCAAGCGUUGUUCGGAUUCAUUGGGCGUAAAGGGUGCGUAGGUGGCGCCGUAAGUCGGGUGUGAAAUUUCGGAGCUUAACUCCGAAACUGCAUUCGAUACUGCGGUGCUUGAGGACUGGAGAGGAGACUGGAAUUCAUGGUGUAGCAGUGAAAUGCGUAGAGAUCAUGAGGAAGACCAGUGGCGAAGGCGGGUCUCUGGACAGUUCCUGACACUGAGGCACGAAGGCCAGGGGAGCAAACGGG
Molecule: ribosomal RNA, 253 nt
Filed under: uncultured bacterium
Lineage: Bacteria
Description: partial 16S ribosomal RNA
Rfam family: Bacterial small subunit ribosomal RNA
Source: RNAcentral